AAGGUGGACAAGGAUGACGCGGAUUUCUGCACGGUAUAACUCGAAGUGGUUAUCGAUGGUUGUUGGAGGCGGUUGGCGGUAGUUGGCGGUGGUCGAGGGUGGACGUUGAGGAGGACGAGGAAGACGAGGAUUUGUGCUCGGUAUAACCGGAGGUGGUUGCCGAUGGUUGUGGUGGUUGAAUGUGGACGAGGAGAACAAGGUGGACAAGGAGGACGAGGAUUUGUGCACGGUAUAACCCGAGGUGGUUAGCAGUGGUCGUUGGAGUGGUUGGUGGUAGUUGGAGGUGGUCGAGCUGGAGGAGGAGGAGGAGGAGGACGAGGCUGACGAGGAGAACAGGGUGGACGAGGAGGACGAGAAUUUGUGCUCGGUGAGUUUAACAUUUUUAUAAUAUUUGAUGAAUUAGGAUCAGCAUCAGGAGAAGAAAUAGGAGUAAGAUCAGUAAUAGGAUCAGGAGAGGGAGUAGGAGUAGGAGUAGGAUCAGAAGUGGGAUCAGUAAGAGUAGGAGUAGGAUCAGGAAUAGGAUCAGAAGUGGAAUCAGGAAUAGGUGAAGGUUGAGGAGAAAAAUCAGUAUCAGGAGUAGAAGUAGGAAUAGGAUCAGGAGUAGG
Long non-coding RNA from Neodiprion fabricii, 605 nucleotides. RefSeq lists it as uncharacterized. The transcript has 4 exons. The record is from RefSeq and is a predicted model, not a curated record. Lineage: Eukaryota; Metazoa; Arthropoda; Insecta; Hymenoptera; Diprionidae.